RNAcentral lists this transfer RNA (73 nucleotides) under Homarus americanus (American lobster). Its description in RNAcentral is "tRNA-Phe". It matches the Rfam family "tRNA". From Rfam's summary of the family: Transfer RNA (tRNA) molecules are approximately 80 nucleotides in length. Their secondary structure includes four short double-helical elements and three loops (D, anti-codon, and T loops). The record is from Rfam by way of RNAcentral. RNAcentral also lists the same sequence under 5 other names. Lineage: Eukaryota; Metazoa; Arthropoda; Malacostraca; Decapoda; Nephropidae.
GCCUAGAUAGCUCAGUUGGGAGAGCGUUAGACUGAAGAUCUAAAGGUCCCUGGUUCGAUCCCUGGUCUGGGCA